Molecule: ribosomal RNA, 244 nt
Filed under: uncultured bacterium
Lineage: Bacteria
Description: partial 16S ribosomal RNA
Rfam family: Bacterial small subunit ribosomal RNA
Source: RNAcentral
AGUAAUGUCUGGGAAACUGCCUGAUGGAGGGGGAUAACUACUGGAAACGGUAGCUAAUACCGCAUAACGUCGAAAGACCAAAGAGGGGGACCUUCGGGCCUCUUGCCAUCGGAUGUGCCCAGAUGGGAUUAGCUUGUUGGUGGGGGUAAUGGCUCACCAAGGCGACGAUCCCUAGCUGGUCUGAGAGGAUGACCAGCCACACUGGAACUGAGACACGGUCCAGACUCCUACGGGAGGCAGCAUG